Molecule: ribosomal RNA, 335 nt
Filed under: uncultured bacterium
Lineage: Bacteria
Description: partial 16S ribosomal RNA
Rfam family: Bacterial small subunit ribosomal RNA (bases 1-289)
Source: RNAcentral
AAAAAAAAACACGUGAGUAACCUGCCCUUGACUUUGGGAUAACUUCAAGAAACUGGGGCUAAUACCGGAUAGGAGCUCCUACUGCAUGUUGGGGUUUGGCAAUUUUCGGCGGUUGGGGAUGUACUCGCGUCUUAUCAGCUGGUUGGUGGGGUAGUGGCUUACAAAGGCUUUGCCGGGUAGACGGCCUGAGAGGGUGACCGGAGACAUGGGGACUGAGAUAAGGCCCAGACUUGUACGGGAGGAAGCAGUGGGGAAUAUUGAACAAUGGGCGGAAGCCUGAUGCAGCAAUUUUGUUUUUGUUAAGGAUCCCGCGGCCACCGAAAUCUACACUCGUU